This 142-nucleotide microRNA precursor is filed under the name Pelobates cultripes (western spadefoot toad). The record is from RNAcentral. Lineage: Eukaryota; Metazoa; Chordata; Amphibia; Anura; Pelobatidae.
GCCAAUCAGCAGCAGACUCUCCCUCCCAGACCCUCCCACCUCCUGGACAGCUCACUAAGAAUGCAGCUUCACAAUGAAUGUAAAAUGGAUGCUGUCCAGGAGGUGGGAGGGUCUGGGAGGGAGGGUCUGCUGCUGAUUGUCU